Molecule: long non-coding RNA, 1566 nt
Filed under: Cricetulus griseus (Chinese hamster)
Lineage: Eukaryota; Metazoa; Chordata; Mammalia; Rodentia; Cricetidae
Description: lncRNA (ENSCGRG00015038159.1)
Source: RNAcentral
GGACAGCCUUGUGUUGUUCCUGAUUUUAAGGGACUCACAAUGAGUUUCUGUCCAUUUAGUUUGAUGUUGGCUGUUGGCUUGCUCUAUAUUGCUUUUAUUAUGUUUAGGUAUGUUCCUGUUAUCCCUGAUCUCUCCAAGACCUUUAACAUGAAGGAGUGUUGGAUUUUGUCAAAGCCUUUUUCAGCAUUUAGUGAGAUGAUCAUGUGGUUUUUCUUUCUCUGUCUGUUUAUAUGGUGGAUUACAUUGAUGGAUUUCCUUAUGUUGAACCAUCCUUGCAUCCCUAGGAUGAAGCCUACUUGAUCAUGGUGGAUGAUUUCUCUGAUGUGUUCUUGGAAGGGGUUUCACCUUUGUUUCCACAAGAGAAGAAAACCUUUGGAUACCAUUAAAGUUGAUCAAUAUUUGAGUUGAAAAAGAAAAACUUCUGGAUGAGGAGAAAUGACAGGUCAUCCACUAAGGUAUAUCUCAUAAACUGUAUAGAAACCUCACAAAGAAAAGGGAAAUGUUUUGUUUUUGUCUUCACAGGGAAACUCAUCUCCAGGAAAUACAAGGAUACUAAAUGGAUACUUAAAGAAGAGAGGAAAGUAAAUGUGCCCCACCUCAUCAAGUUCACUGGAUCCAACUUGAUUCGUUUGAACUGACACUCUGGCCAGAGCUUCAAGAACUGACAUUAAUCAACACAAGGACUUUAAUCAAGAUAAGGACUUCAACCUAGACCUUCAAUCAAUCAUCUCCCACCAAACACAGACUGGAUACAUAUGUUGCAGAUAAUCCACUCAAUACUUUCACUACUCUAACAUUUUCUUCUUAAGAGACCUCUUGAGGCUAUCACUGUCCCAUUUCAGCAGGAAGUAACUUCCAGAAUACUACGCCGCCUUUCCCCACUGUUGACACUAAGGGUAUUGUACACUUAGUUAGGGCUAGUUUCCUAUUGUUUAGGGAUGGUUUUGGAAGGAGGUGUUCAGGCUUGGACAUCUCUUUCAGAUGACUUUAGGGUUUAGAUGGAAUAGAUAUAGUUAAGAUGUGACAUUAGUAGAUUAUUAUAUCUUCUUGUAAUUCACCUUUAUGAUUGCUAAUUAUAGAUAACUUCAACUGUUAAGUUUAAAUCCUCUUUAGAUUAAAAGGGGGAAUUGUAGGGAGAAAUCCUGAUUAGAGGUCCUGCUGACCACACCUGUUUGGGCAUGGUCACAGCUACAUAACAAGGGUUUAAGAAGGAGGGAGGCAUCUCUUUAGCCUGGCUGGGCUGACUGGGAAGCAUUUUAGGGUCCCUCCUGCUCAGGUGAAAACCUGGUCACUGGCUGCCUUGCAUGAGUACUUUUCCCCAAUAAACUACCCUUUAUCAACCUAUUUCUGACUCCACUUUGUAAACAUCUAUAGUUUUGUUUACCAAUGUCUAAUAAAGAUUACUCUAUAUUCCUCCAAUCCCAUUUUUAUUUUUACAAUAAGUAAAAAUAUACAAACAAGCCGGGCGUUGGUGGCACAUGCCUUUAAUCCCAGCACUCAGGAGGCAGAGGCAGACGGAUCUCUGUGAGUUCGGAGGCCAGCUUGGUCUCCAGAGCGAGUGCUAGG